RNAcentral lists this long non-coding RNA (2624 nucleotides) under Salmo trutta (river trout). Its description in RNAcentral is "lncRNA (ENSSTUG00000012703.1)". Lineage: Eukaryota; Metazoa; Chordata; Actinopteri; Salmoniformes; Salmonidae. The record is from RNAcentral.
GGAUUGUGUGUUUUUUGUGUGUGUGUGUGUCAGUCUUUCAGUGAUUGUGCGUGUUUGUGUGUGUGUGUAUGGGUGGGUGUAGCAUGUGUGUUAACAGUAUGUGUUUGUAGUUUUCUGAGUGUAGCCUAACACAGAGACUGUGGUGUAUGUUGACUGUUAGGUGGAUCAUGGAACAGCACUGUUGAGCCGCUAGAGGUGCCACUUGUGAGUCGUGCUGACUGUGAGCGUUAUAACACCGGUAGACUGACCCCUAGGAUGCUGUGUGCUGGGCCGCCACAGCAUCGUGGACUGGACACGUGCACGGGUCCAGGUGAUUCUGGGGGAGCACUGGUGUGUCAGAGAGAGAACUCUGGUUACUUUGUCCUGGGAGUGAGCAGCCGAAAGGAAGGCUGUGGGAAGUUUCAGAGGCCAGGAGUCUACACCUCAGUCCCCAUGAUAACAGACUGGAUCCACGAACAACUCCACGAAGAUUCAGCUGACUCCUCUAAAACCCUGCCAUACCAGAAGCAGCAGGAGGAGCUGGCCUUCAGCAUAGAUUAUGAUGAUAAUAACUAUGGAGCGGAGUCAUCUGGAGAAUCCUGUUAGCCUUGACCCACCUAGCUUGAGGCUGGAGGGCCAUGUGGUAUUCUAACGGAGUCAAGCUGCUUUUUGUUGCUUGCAUAUACCGCUCAGAAAUGAAGCAGACACAGCGGAUCUAACAGAGACAUGAUUUGAAAAAGGGAACAUCCAAUCAGCACAAAUUCCAUGGAUUUGUGGGAAGGGCUAUGGAACAAUUGUAUCGUCAUACUGUCUGUCUGUCUGUCUGUCACACGCACGCACGCACGCACACACACACACACACAUACACACACACGUACACACACAAACCUUUUCUUUGUAAACCAGUGUUCAACCACUGAGUGAUCUGACACUGGAGUGAUAAUAUUAAAUUAUAGCAUCAUCAACAUGCCUGGAGAUAUUUUAAUUAAUUAGACAGUGUGCAGGAGCACACAUGCACACACGCACACAAACCUUUUCCAGUGCUAAACCGGUGCUCAAGCCCUGAGUGAUCUGACACUGAAGUGAUUUUGGAUCAUUCACCUCCUCAUCUGGAUCACUCAACUGUGCUUUGUCAUGGCUCUGUCAAAGUGAGUUCCUCUCUCCUAUUGGUCCGUCAGCCCUCCAUUAACUCCCCUUCCUCUAGGUAGCCUUGGUGCAAAGGCCUGACUCCAGGGCCUGGCUCCAUAUGUUUGACACCCCUGUAACGAAAUUAUCCUUGGUUACAGCUCAACAGGAGUUGUUUUCAAGGCUACGAUGCUGAAGUCGACUGAAAGAAAACCUCCAAAGUCACCUAGGGGUGGCAGGUAGCCUAGCAGUUAGGAGCGUUGGUCCCGUACCUGAAAGGUCAUUGGUUUGAAUCCCUGAGACAAAUAGGUGAAAAUGUGCCCUGAACCCUAGUUGCUCAGGAUAAGUGUUUCUGCUAAAUUAUGUAAAUGUCUAGUGGAAGUAUGCUUUGUCAUUCGAAAUACUGGUAACUUCCUGACACUGAAAGGAUAGUCAGAUAAGUGGAAAGAUGGCAUGGAGAAUAUUACCUGAUGAGACCAGUUCUAUGCAAUUCAGCUUUUGAGGGUUGUUCACACACAGACAGAUGAUGCAAUAUCUACUUGACUGAAAGGACAAACACAUUCAGACAGAUGAAACCUGAGGGGUACACUAUAAAGCAGGAUCAAGGAGUUAGCCAGCUAAUUUGCCCAAGUAUUCUGAUAUAACUUUUAUAUUUUUUAUAAAGAUAAGCUUGAAAUGGGCAUGGUCGAAUUGAUUUAAUAUCAAUGUUUCACUUUUUUUUAUUAACCAUAAAAUCAAUAGUUAUUUCUGGUUACUUAUUAGCUGGCUAACUGAUGGAUCCUACCUUGCAGUAUACCCUUCUGAUCUCCACCCCAGACAUAAAGUGCUUCCACCUUACAUCCAGGUUCAUGUAGAGACCAUGUCUAGUUGUUACUAUAUUAAUAAAGGUUACAGGAAGUGUUGAUUGCUGAAAGUACACAAACUCUAUCAAUGUACCAAAAACACAUGGACGUACUGGACUGGACACAGCUGGUAUGCAGGUCCUCAGGAGGAAAUUAAAACUUCAGUCUUCUCCAGAUAAUGUGGUACCACCUGCUGGUAGGAACAAGGUCACUGUCUGUUGGAUUCAAUGAAAUCAACCCGCAGAGGGAUAGUUUUAUUGGGCCAAAAGUAAUCUUCUAAAACUAUAAACAAAGAUGAAGAAAUCUAUUCAGAGCCUGCGCCUGUUCAUGUAACGCCCUGGCCAUAGAGAGGGUUUUUUGUUCUCUAUUUUUGGUUUGGCCAGGGUGUGACAUGGGUGAGCGUUCUAGGUUUCUUUUUCUAUGUUGGUGUUUUUCUUUGUUUCGGCCGUGUAUGGCUCUCAAUCAGGAACAGGUGUAGAUCGUUGUUGCUGAUUGGGAGUCAUACAUAGGCAAACUGUUUUUCCUUUGGGGUUUGUGGGUGAAUGUUUUCUGUCUAGUAUUUUGUUAUUCCUGACAGAACUGUUUGGCUGUCAUUUUCGUGUUUUCUUUUACUAGUGUUCAUUUGGUCAUUAAAAUCAUUUAAGAUGAACAGUUGUCUGACCAAUGCUUCAACUUCUA